GAGUUUGAUCCUGGCUCAGAUUGAACGCUGGCGGCAGGCCUAACACAUGCAAGUCGAGCGGAUGAAAGGGGCUUGCUCCUGGAUUCAGCGGCGGACGGGUGAGUAAUGCGCAGGAAUCUACCUCGUAGUGGGGGAUAACGUUUCGAAAGGAACGCUAAUACCGCAUACGUUCUGAGGAAGAAAGCAGGGGACCUUCGGGCCUUGCGCUAUGAGAUGAGCUUGCGUCCGAUUAGCUAGUUGGUGGGGUAAAGGCCUACCAAGGCGACGAUCGGUAACUGGUCUGAGAGGAUGAUCAGUCACACUGGAACUGAGACACGGUCCAGACUCCUACGGGAGGCAGCAGUGGGGAAUAUUGGACAAUGGGGGCAACCCUGAUCCAGCCAUGCCGCGUGUGUGAAGAAGGCCUUCGGGUUGUAAAGCACUUUAAGCGGGGAGGAAGGGCUUGAGGCUAAUAUCCUUGAGCAUUGACGUUACCCGCAGAAUAAGCACCGGCAAACUUCGUGCCAGCAGCCGCGGUAAUACGAAGGGUGCGAGCGUUAAUCGGAAUUACUGGGCGUAAAGCGCGCGUAGGUGGUUGAGUAAGCGAUCUGUGAAAGCCCCGGGCUUAACCUGGGAACUGCAGGUCGAACUGCUUAGCUAGAGUAUGGUAGAGGGGUGUGGAAUUUCCUGUGUAGCGGUGAAAUGCGUGGAUAUAGGAAGGAACAUCAGUGGCGAAGGCGACACCCUGGACCGAUACUGACACUGAGGCGCGAAAGCGUGGGUAGCGAACAGGAUUAGAUACCCUGGUAGUCCACGCCGUAAACGAUGUCUGCUAGCCGUUGGAGGGCUUGUCCCUUCAGUGGCGGAGCUAACGCGAUAAGCAGACCGCCUGGGGAGUACGGCCGCAAGGUUAAAACUCAAAUGAAUUGACGGGGGCCCGCACAAGCGGUGGAUGAUGUGGAUUAAUUCGAUGCAACGCGAAGAACCUUACCUACCCUUGACAUGCCAGGAAUCCCGGAGAGAUCUGGGGGUGCCCGAAAGGGAACCUGGACACAGGUGCUGCAUGGCUGUCGUCAGCUCGUGUCGUGAGAUGUUGGGUUAAGUCCCGCAACGAGCGCAACCCUUGCCAUUAGUUGCUACGAAAGGGCACUCUAAUGGGACUGCCGGUGACAAACCGGAGGAAGGUGGGGAUGACGUCAAGUCCUCAUGGCCCUUAUGGGUAGGGCUUCACACGUCAUACAAUGGUCGGUACAGAGGGUUGCCAACCCGCGAGGGGGAGCCAAUCCCACAAAGCCGAUCGUAGUCCGGAUCGCAGUCUGCAACUCGACUGCGUGAAGUCGGAAUCGCUAGUAAUCGCGGAUCAGCAUGUCGCGGUGAAUACGUUCCCGGGCCUUGUACACACCGCCCGUCACACCAUGGGAGUAGGUUGCUCCAGAAGUAGUUAGCCUAACCGCAAGGGGGGCGAUUACCACGGAGUGAUCCAUGACUGGGGUGAAGUCGUAACAAGGUAACC
RNAcentral lists this ribosomal RNA (1492 nucleotides) under uncultured Pseudomonas sp. Its description in RNAcentral is "bacterial SSU rRNA". It matches the Rfam family "Bacterial small subunit ribosomal RNA". Lineage: Bacteria; Pseudomonadati; Pseudomonadota; Gammaproteobacteria; Pseudomonadales; Pseudomonadaceae. The record is from RNAcentral.